AACGAACGCUGGCGGCAUGCCUAACACAUGCAAAGUCGAACGAGACCUUCGGGUCUAGUGGCGCACGGGUGCGUAACGCGUGGGAAUCUACCUAGUAGUGGGGGAUAACCCGGGAAACGUCGGGCUAAUACCGCGUACGCCCUACGGGGGAAAGGCGGGGACGUUUCGGGUCCGUCGCGCUAUUAGAUGAGCCUAAGUACCGAUUAGUCUAGUUGGUAGGGUAAGUAGGCCUACCAAGGCGACGAUCGGUAGCUGGUCUGAGAGGA
Molecule: ribosomal RNA, 266 nt
Filed under: uncultured bacterium
Lineage: Bacteria
Description: partial 16S ribosomal RNA
Rfam family: Bacterial small subunit ribosomal RNA
Source: RNAcentral